ACAGGAUUAGAUACCCUGGUAGUCCACGCCGUAAACGAUGGGUGCUAGGUGUCGCGAGCUUUGACCCCUGCGGUGCCGUAGCUUACGCAUUUAAGCACCCCGCCUGGGGAGUACGGCCGCAAGGCUAAAACUCAAGGGAAUUUGACGGGGGGCCCGCACAAGCGGUGGAGCAUGUGGUUCAAUUCGACGCCACGCGCAGUACCUUACCUGGGCUAGAAGACACAGGGACCUGGUCGAAAGGUCGGGGUGCUCUUCGGAGUAACCUGUGGUUAUGUGCUGCAUGGCUGUCGUCAGCUCGUGUCGUGAGAUGUUGGGUUAAGUCCCGCCACGAGCGCGACCCCUGUCGUUAGUUGCCAGCGGUUUGGCCGGGCACUCUAACGAGACUGCCGAUAUUCAUAAUCGGAGGAAGGUGGGGAUGACGUCAAGUCAUCAUGGCCCUUUAUGUCCAGGGCGUACACACGUGCUACUAAUGGUCGGUACUAAACGGUCGCGAACUCGCGAGGGGAAGCUCAUCCGAUAAUAACCGGCCUCAGUACGGCAUAAGAGUCUGCGCACUCGACUCUGUUGAAGUCGGUCAUCACUAGUAAU
Molecule: ribosomal RNA, 588 nt
Filed under: uncultured bacterium
Lineage: Bacteria
Description: bacterial SSU rRNA
Rfam family: Bacterial small subunit ribosomal RNA
Source: RNAcentral